ACCAUAUCUCAUUGAAACACUGAAGUUAAGCAACAUUAAGCCUGGUCAGUACCCAAAUGUGUGACCACUUGGGAAUACCAGGUGUUGUAA
Molecule: non-coding RNA, 90 nt
Organism: Acanthosepion pharaonis
Lineage: Eukaryota; Metazoa; Mollusca; Cephalopoda; Sepiida; Sepiidae
Source: the annotation of a GenBank genome assembly